This 120-nucleotide ribosomal RNA is filed under the name uncultured bacterium. RNAcentral's name for it is "partial 16S ribosomal RNA". It matches the Rfam family "Bacterial small subunit ribosomal RNA", at positions 796 to 918 of the family's 1533-position model. The record is from RNAcentral.
CACGCCCUAAACGAUGGAUACUUGGUGUUGGGGGGUUACCUUCAGUGCCGGAGCUAACGCGUUAAGUAUCCCACCUGGGGACUACGGCCGCAAGGCUAAAACUCAAAGGAAUUGACGGGG